Molecule: ribosomal RNA, 440 nt
Filed under: uncultured bacterium
Lineage: Bacteria
Description: partial 16S ribosomal RNA
Rfam family: Bacterial small subunit ribosomal RNA
Source: RNAcentral
CCUACGGGUGGCAGCAGUGGGGAAUAUUGCACAAUGGGGGAAACCCUGAUGCAGCAACGCCGCGUGAGUGAUGAAGUCUUUCGGUAUGUAAAGCUCUAUCCGCAGGGAAGAAAAUGACGGUACCUGAUUAAGAAGCCCCGGCUAACUACGUGCCAGCAGCCGCGGUAAUACGUAGGGGGCAAGCGUUAUCCGGAUUUACUGGGUGUAAAGGGAGCGUAGACGGCUUCACAAGUCUGGAGUGAAAGCCCGGGGCCCAACCCCGGGAAUGCUGUGGAAACUGGCCGGCUGGAGUGCGGGAGGGGCAGGCGGAAUUCCUGGUGUAGCGGUGAAAUGCGUAGAUAGCAGGAGGAACACCGGCGGCGAAGGCGGCUUUCUGGACUGCGACUGACGUUGAGGCACGAAAGCGUGGGGAGCGAACAGGAUUAGAGACCCUAGUAGUC